This 241-nucleotide ribosomal RNA is filed under the name uncultured bacterium. Its description in RNAcentral is "partial 16S ribosomal RNA". It matches the Rfam family "Bacterial small subunit ribosomal RNA", at positions 116 to 353 of the family's 1533-position model. The record is from RNAcentral.
CGUGGGUAACCUGCCUUAUAGUGGGGGAUAGCCUUUCGAAAGGAAGAUUAAUACCGCAUAAGAUUGUAGUAUCGCAUGAUAUAGCAAUUAAAGGAGCAGUCCGCUAUAAGAUGGACCCGCGUCGCAUUAGCUAGUUGGUGAGGUGAUGGCUCACCAAGGCGACGAUGCGUAGCCGACCUGAGAGGGUGAUCGGCCACAUUGGGACUGAGACACGGCCCAGACUCCUACGGGAGGCAGCAUG